Molecule: long non-coding RNA, 243 nt
Filed under: Malus domestica (apple)
Lineage: Eukaryota; Viridiplantae; Streptophyta; Magnoliopsida; Rosales; Rosaceae
Description: long non-coding RNA (MDOM_LNC019814)
Source: RNAcentral
UGAGUUCUAGCAUUUGGAACUAAAUGAUGAAACGCCUUCUAAGUAGCAACCAAGCAAAGAAUAAUGAGAUCAUGCAACGACUUUAGAAAACAAAGAAUGCACAGAUUUUAACUCUCCAAAUAAACGUUUAGGCUCAAGUCUCACAAGGUUGUAGCGUUAGUUUGAGUUCCUUCCUUCAAGCAUGUUACAAAAACUGAUUUUUUUCUUUUAUGAUUGCAUGUGAAUUCAUAAGUUAUAACCACA